CUCGAUUUCCUGACCUUGUGAUCCGCCCGCGUCGGCCUCCCAAAGUGCUGGGAUUACAGGCGUGAGCCACCGCGCCCAGCAACUCUCGACUUUUAAAUGUUAGCGGCAGACCAAACCAAACAAACACAGCUGCAGGACGGGUCUGGUACGCAGGGCUCCCACUUUGCAGUCUCUGAUCUGUAGGCCGAACAACGGCAAGAACUGUCUGGAUCCCACAAACAUCCCCAGCCAAACUUCUGAGGCCUUAAGGGGAGGAGGCCUUGCACACCUGACUGGAGAACAGGCCUAAGAACUGCAGUGUUCUGUUUCCUGCUCUGCUUUAGAAAAGAGAGGAGACAGAAAACCAGAGGGUCUUUUAAUUGGAAGCAAGGGUGGCCCUUCAGAGUCUCAGUUAAGAGUCAAGGAAAGAUGAGAUCACUUGGGUAGCUCAAGAAGGGAAAAGGAUUUAUUAGACCAUUUCCAGGACAGGGACCCAGGGGCAGUGGCUGGGUUCAGUGUUCUCACGCUCAGAGGAAGAAAAGGCAGUGGUGAACACCCGCCUGACUGCCUUACCCUGAUCUAAACGACACCAUCUCCUCCCCCAAGGAAGACACAGCCCUGGAUGUGAACCUAGGAGGGUGGGAAUGGCUUAUGUCACUCGGUCUUUGAGGCAGAGCUUGGGCUGGGGUUGCAGGGGCAUCAGCCAAUCUGCUCUCAAGGAGCAAAACUUGGGCGUAAAAGGAACGGGCAGUGGGGCUAGCCGGCUGUCUGGAGGUCUGGGUGACCUGGCAGCACGGCUGCUUCUCCCCCGCCACCCCGCCCCACUCCUUGACACUUCCAGGUGAUUUUAUCUUUAUAAAUAAGAUGAAAAUCCAAGCAGCAUUAAUUUAGGGGAACAAAAGAUGGAAAAAAAA
Molecule: long non-coding RNA, 893 nt
Filed under: Homo sapiens (human)
Lineage: Eukaryota; Metazoa; Chordata; Mammalia; Primates; Hominidae
Description: HSALNT0386706
Source: RNAcentral